GCGCCUGCACCCCGCGGCGUCGGUCGUUUCCCACUUGCAGCCACUGCGCCCUUCCCGCUCGCCGGGGGUCCCGGGGCCGCUGCCCAGGGACUGCAGGUGACGGACGGACAUGCCUUUGGAGCAGUGCAGUGUGUGGGCACGUGGCAACCUCGCGUGCCGUCCUACUUUGAGGAGCGCCACCCUCGAGGCCUGCGUGGCAGCACCAGCAGAUUCCAGGCAGUGGCGACUUGUCUCAUCAACUCUGCAGAAAGGAGACGCGAAUCCCCCCAUGAUUUCAUGAUAUGUCACUUUCAAACAGUAUGGGCCACUGAAUAACAGAAAGUCUAUAGGCA
Macaca mulatta (Rhesus monkey) is the source of this 332-nucleotide RNA transcript. RefSeq lists it as uncharacterized. NCBI's taxonomy places the organism in Eukaryota, Metazoa, Chordata, Mammalia, Primates, Cercopithecidae. The record is from RefSeq and is a predicted model, not a curated record.